This 1448-nucleotide long non-coding RNA is filed under the name Capra hircus (goat). RNAcentral describes it as "lncRNA (ENSCHIG00010003086.1)". Lineage: Eukaryota; Metazoa; Chordata; Mammalia; Artiodactyla; Bovidae. The record is from RNAcentral.
GAAAUGUAAAAGAGACAAACAACUGCAAAAGUGUAAGAACCAGAAUGAUGUGAUGUCAGGGAACAGAGAGCCAAAGAGGAUGCGUAAAUAAAGACAAUCAUUUUCAGUGAAUUUGGAAAUACAGAGGACAUUGGAAAACUAUGAAUCAUUUCCACAGAGAGUUGGCAAACCAAGGCAGAUUAUAAGUAAUUGAGAAAUAAAUGGAAAAUAAGAUAGCAGAAAUGCUUUUUAGUUAAGACAUGAGAAGAGACUUUAUGGUGGAUACAGGGAAAAGUAGUGACAACAGAUUAUUUUUGGAUGGGAGGGAUAAGCCUAAAUUUUGGCUAAGGGAAAGAAAGGAAAUAAGGGAAGAAGAAAUUGAAGACAUAGGAGGCAGACAUUUCAAAGGGAUGGGAGUAGAAAAUUUAGAUGAAUUGCCAGGACUGAAGAAAAGGAGAUGGGAGGAAGAGAGAUGGUUCCUGAUACAUGUUAUCAAUCCAGAAAGGUACAGAGGUUGGCACAGUGUACUGACACAGGUUGGUCAGUUAAGAUGGAUUUGGCUAGACAGUCGGCAACACCAAAAUUUCACAUAUGCCCAGUCUGGAAUUGUUUGCUUUGCAUUUAGUAAGUACAAUCUUGAAAUUAGGAAUGAAUUCAACUUUCUCUUCUAUCCUGCACUUGUGUGGGUAUGUGUGUGUAUAAAUAUAUAUAUUUAUAGUAGGCAGUUUCUAAGUCAGUACAUUUUUAUAAUGACUGUUCUAUUUUGUGGAUAUACCAAAAUUUGUUUCUACAUUUCUGUAUUGAUGAAUACUUGGAUCUUUAUACCACUUUGCUAUUAAAAAUGAUACUGCAAGGACAAAACAACUCAAUUUCAGUGAGCACCAUAUAGCUUUCAACAGAAAAAUUUGCUCAGGAAAGGCUGUCUGCUCUAACCUCUGCCAGGAUACUGCAGGCCAAGAAUUAAAUUUUUAGCUCCAGGGUACUCUUUUUCUUAAAGAUGUAGUUUCUAAGUUGAGNNNNNAUUAACUAAGCCUCAGCUUUCCUGUUUGUCUCUUGAAUGCCAAAGGAUAUUACAUGGCAAAGUGAUAACAAGAGAAUGACUGUAGUGCACUCAACUUUUUAAAUGUGAAAACACAUGAUUGGUAUAAUUUACUGUCAUCACAUCAACAUUAACACUAUCAUCACCUUAUCAGUAUUUGCAGGCAAACUCUUUCCAUGGUCAAAGUUUUGGAUCUAAUAUAUAGUCUUGCACUAAGAGAUGAGUCUCUGUAUUCUCGUCUCAAGUUAAACUGCUUGGGGCUGGAUGCAUGUCUGGAAUCUUCUGUACAAUGUAUUCGACAGGUGUUCUUUGAAGCUUCUGGAGUGUAGUAAGAAUUAGAAAGUGACUGAAAAUAUGUCAUCCUCCCCUGCAAAUUCUAGUCCUUAUUUUCAGCUCUAACACACUGAGAUGCAAAAUUACUUCUACAUAG